Paramisgurnus dabryanus is the source of this 542-nucleotide long non-coding RNA. RefSeq lists it as uncharacterized. The record is from RefSeq and is a predicted model, not a curated record. Lineage: Eukaryota; Metazoa; Chordata; Actinopteri; Cypriniformes; Cobitidae.
AAACUAAAGGAUUACUAUAUAGAGCGCUGAAUUAGUGAGUUAUUUACUGUAAUACUUGAACAUCUGAGGUGACACCAGAAGUGUAUAGUUGUGUAUAAAUACAAAGAGUUUGGAAGAAAGGAUCCUACAUUGAGCGUGCAGUGAUGGUGAAACAUCAGCAAGGAGCUGUGACAGCAGUUAUGAACAUGAGUUUGUUUCUGCUUCUUCUGCUGUCAGGACUUCUGUGCAGUGCUUCUGGUCUUUGGCGAGAGUAUCAGUACAUACACAUAAGUAUGGCAUGGACAGACGCUCAGAGUUACUGUAGAGAGAGAUUCACUGAUCUGGCUACUGUAGACUCGAUAGAUGAUGUGAACAGGAUGAUGAAUACAGUGAAUGAUGGGUACAGUGGAUCAGUGUGGAUUGGACUGCAGAAGGGAACACAGAGUCGUUGGGUUUGGUCAAAUGGAGAAGAUACCAUUUCACAAUACAGUCCAUGGGCCCCAGGACAACCUAGUGGUGGAGAAGAUUGUGUUUUCUCUAACAAUGAUGCUUGGAACGAUUUU